Molecule: ribosomal RNA, 465 nt
Filed under: uncultured Gigaspora
Lineage: Eukaryota; Fungi; Glomeromycota; Glomeromycetes; Diversisporales; Gigasporaceae
Description: SSU rRNA
Rfam family: Eukaryotic small subunit ribosomal RNA
Source: RNAcentral
AGCAGCCGCGGUAAUUCCAGCUCCAAUAGCGUAUAUUAAAGUUGUUGCAGUUAAAAAGCCCGUAGUUGAAUUUCGGGGUUCUACCGUUGGUCGGGCAAUAGUCUGUACUGGCGUGUGGAAUUUCUACCUUCUGGGGGAACCAUCAUGUUAUUAAUUUAGCGUGGUGGGAAACCCAGGACCUUUACCUUGAAAAAUUAGAGUGUUCAAAGCAGGCUUACGUCUGAAUACAUUAGCAUGGAAUAAUAAAAUAGGACGGUGGUCCUGUUUUGUUGGUUUCUGAAUCACCGUAAUGAUUAAUAGGGAUAGUUGGGGGCAUUAGUAUUCAAUUGUCAGAGGUGAAAUUCUUGGAUUUAUUGAAGACUAACUUCUGCGAAAGCAUUUGCCAAGGAUGUUUUCAUUAAUCAAGAACGAAAGUUAGGGGAUCGAAGACGAUCAGAUACCGUGUAGUCUUAACCAUAAACUAUG